UCAGUCUGCUGUUGUGUCAGUAUUCUUGCUUCCACAUGGGACGCGUCUUUUUCCCCCCGGAAAGUCGCAAAAUCGCAUCGGGCUUGAUGUGUGUAUAGUCAGACGCGACAAAGUUCUCCUCCGGAUAUUUCGUAAUUUCGAGUUCUAUAUUCGCGUCGGCCCCGGUGUAUAUGGACCUUUAGUUGUGCAGGUAAGUUUAGUUUUACAUGUUGAAUUGGUGGAACUGUUCUUCCUAGAGUCCUCAUCCAUGUCAGUCAGACUUAGAUCUGUACUCAGCAGCAUUUGUCUUGUUCAUUUGUCCUGUUUGUAUUUUCCUUUCUCACUUUAUUUCUGUUACUUCUUUUGCAGCUGACUGACUCACAAGACGCAAAAUCAGCACCCAGUGAAUGAUGCUUGUGAAUGACAGUGAGCUUUAAAUCCUGCUGAUAUGACACUUUCUCCCAGCAAACAAAAACAUGUCUGUCGCUAAACACGAUCAAGUGAACGCCCCUCCCCAGAGUGAGCCAGAGAGCAAGAAGGAGAGUAAAAAAGCUGAAGUGAGAGAGAGAGAGAGAGAGAGACAGGUGGUCAGGCCGGUCUUUUCCUUGCCCUCCGCUCCUUUUUGAACUUUUCUUUCAUUCUUCCAGUUCAUUCUGUCCUUCUCUCCAUAGCGCCAGUGACAAGGCGCUCCAUUCACUGCCUCAUUCUUCCACCCCUCCCCUCAUCCCUCCACCCCGACCCCCAUCCCCUCCCUCCCCGGCUCCUUUGUCUAGCUUGCGGGGGCCUGCUUUAGUUGCUAUUCACCAGCCAGACGGACCGCCAUUGACUGGACCCCCCUCCUUCCUACCCCCCCUGACAUCCCUCCCCUCCGACAAACACCCCUCACACACAUAUGCACACAGCAACCUGGCCGGUCCCCACCCUAUGCCCUGUAUCAGGCAGCUGCUAUGCUAAUAGGGAGGAAGGGAUAGAUGGAGGAGAGAGGGAGGGAGGGAGGGAUGAGAGGGAGAGACAGAGCAGCCAGCCUAUAGUAAAGGGACAGAGAGGGAGGGAGAGCAAGGAGAGUGACCCCGCUCCUCCAUCUCCAUAGCCAUGCCAGAGCAGCAGCAGACCUCCUGUUACACAAAGGGAGUCCCCCGGCUCCCCCCUCUCCCCCUCCUCCCUUCACCCCUCUGUUCCCCUCUUUCUCAUUCAAAUCCAUUUUAUACCCCAGUGGUAAAGGGAGCUGUAAGUGCAGUAUGUAAAGUAACCUUACUCCUGCCCUGCGGGCGUAACCAUUGAACACACAGAGAACAGCCUGUGUGUGUGUGUGUGUGUAUGUGUGUGUGUGUGUGUGUCUCCAUUCCCCUGCUUUGUUUAGGACUGCAGCCCAUACUUCCACACACACACACACACCUGCCCUUGAGUCGCGUUGCAUCUCUUCCUCAUGGUCAAAUAGUGCCACACUGGAGAUUUGCAUUCUUUAAACACACCAGUUGAAACAAGAACCAACUGUUGUUUGAUGUCGAGUCCUUUAAACUGAAGAAAAUUAACAUCUUCACUGAGCUACAAAUAAUGCAAUAACUGCUCACGACUGUAGAAGUGAACUCGAGUCAACUCAUCAUUUUUCAGGUAUACUGAGGUAUGUUUAUAAUUGUUUUUCUGGCACAUAUUUGAUAAAUAUGGUUUGAUGCAGACACUGUUUUUGUGAAGAAAAAACAUCUACAUAAAUGAACAUCUACAGAGAAAGCUUCAGAUAUAUGCCCUAGUAUAGAAUUAAUGCACCACAUAGUUGAAUCAAACUUCUCUGCUGAUGUGACUUCUGUUUAGUUUUUGCUGAGCAGACGAAAACUGUGCAGCACCAUCAUCAUUUACUGAAUAUUUCAAAAAGCAUCUUUAAUUGGAAAAGCAUCAGUCCAAUUAGUAAUAUAAGCCGUGACAUCACCAUGGCUGUUAUACAGUUUAUAAUGAUCAAGUUGCUGAGUGGCAAUAUGUAAAAGUUCAAGAAGUAAAGGACCUGAAUUGAACCCUUAGGGACACCAUGAUUGAUUUUUCCAGAUUUAGAAAUGGUACAGGUACAUUUGUGUCUGCAGUUUUCUUUUUCCAGUAAAGUUAACAUCUCAUAUGGAAUAUUUCGGGGCAGUGCAGAGAUUGGGGGCAGGGGAAUUUCUCUCUCAAUCUCUUCCCCUUGUCUUUCUCUGUCCCUCCUGUUCUGUUAUUUACCCCUGUGCAGUGUGACCCUGUGCCCCGUCAGGGAGGCACGUCCUAUUUGACAUCUGCCUGUUUGCAGGAGGGGGGGGUUUACAAAGGGUGGGGUGCCCAUAUGGAGCCUCAACACCCCCCACCACCAGUCCACACCCGUCCCAACCUUCCCCCGUCCCUGGUACUCACACACACGCACACACACAAUUCCAACACAACAUCUCCUUCUGCUUGCACCCUUUGUUCCUCGGGUGCUGUGUGUCAGAGAGACGUCACACAAUUCCAACACACAGAGCUGCAGAAAGCCAGGUGGAGAGACAGAGGAGUAAGGGUUGGGUUUAGACCUCAAUCUUUGCUCACCUUCUUUCAAAAACCCCCUGACAUGUAAAACCAGCGUCUGAACACAGCUUCUUGUUAAUAUUCAUAAGACAAUUAAGAGCUGAAUCCUACAACAGAGAGGGCUGACGAUUGUUUCUAUCACGGUAUCAAGGGUGAAAGUUAGCCAAACACUUCACUCCAUGUGAUAAAUUUAGGCAGUGCUGCAGAAGGAAAGCUCUUCCUUCUUAUAGAUAAACAGCAAAAAGCUCCAGUGUUUAGAUGAAUUCAUUGUGUCGACCGAAUGUGGAUAUGUUGACUUUCCUCUAUCUGUCAAGCAUGAGCAGAAGCAAUCUGUACAUUUACUUCUUCUGGGUUCAGAACUCUGCAGAAAUCCACCUAUAUUAACAGAGCUGUAAAUCCUGUUAUUACUUUCCCUCCAUCAAUAAGAAACAUACUAGAGAGACGAUCACUUGAAUAGAAAUCAACGUGUUCAUAACUGUCAUGAAAGCAAGUUAUUGAAACAUUUAUUCGAGGUGUUUUAACCUCAAGGUGUAUUAACCUGAAAGUAUUUGCUCCACCAACAGGAAGUAAUACCUCGGUCCAACUUGUUAUGCAGUCCAUAAGUCAUAGAUAAUGCAAGAAGAUAGCUUUACAUAGAUAGAUAGAUAGAUAGAUAGAUAGAUAGAUAGAUAGAUAGAUAGAUAGAUAGAUAGAUAGAUAGAUAGAUAGAUAGGUAGGUAGGUAGGUAGGUAGCUAGGUAGGUAGGUAGGUAGGUAGAAUUUCCCUUUGGGGAUCAAUAAAGCUCUUCUUAUCUUAUCUUAAGGGGUGUCAUCCCGAUCUUAGACCAGCAUUUGUCCAAAGUCAGCCAAUGUGGUUGUGUUGAUCACUGCACCACAAACAACAAGCCCAAGCUGAUCUUACAAGUGUUUGAUGGGGUUGAGCCCAGGACUGCUGACAGGCCAUUCCACCCUCUCCACUCCCAAAUUCAGGAGGUAGUCUCUGAUAAACCUGACUCUGUGGGGGCAAGUAUUGUCAUCUUGGAGGGUAGAGUUUAAUCCCUGACUGUGGAGAUAAAGGAUUGCCACUGGUUGCAGAAUCUCAUCUUGAUAUCUCUCUGCAUUGAGAUUAAUGCUGCAAUUUUUGCCCUAUCUAGAUUAGUCAGUUGUGGCAUUAUUGGUUCUUGGUAAAGACACCUAUGGUCCACUGUAGCAGGGCCUAAGCUCACAGAUGCUGACAAUCAGACACCUGGGUGUACCAGAAGCUCAAAACAAGAGUCAGUGGCAAAGCAAAAUAAGCUGUUUGGCAACUUUUUCAUGGGGGAAACCCACAUACUCUGUUCUGCUGCUCAUCUCACUCACAAUAAUCGAACACAAUUUAUCUUACUUUUUGAGCUGAGCUUAGAUAGAGCUCAAGCUCUGCUAGCUUCGAUGAUUCUACCUGCUUGCAAAGAUGGAUGGAUCAACCCAGCGUUUGAACUAAAUCGGGUUGUCCUUAUGCACAGCAUGAUAGGGUGUAACAAUUACCCUGUAUGGAUUAUCCUCCUACACAAUGAUUCAGUGUGCAGGACACACAAUGAGCAGGCUGGCCGCAGGGCUGGAUCUAGGCUAACGAGCUCGGUGGAGUUUAAAUGGCCCAGUGUAACACUGACAAAACCCGAGGGUGAUACUGCUCUCUGUAUUAGACAGCACUUUCUCUGUCAGGGCCGGCCACAUUUAUCUGACAGGCUGUGUACGAUAAUACCUCUUGAGGGCUUAGAGUGAAUUAGGUUGUUAGUACAUAUUGUGACACAGAUGUUGUGGCUAUUUUUUCUAUUACUGUAUGGAAAAUUGGGUUCAGAUGGAUUAGGAAAUUAAUCUCCAUAUGCAGCGUUGAAUUGUUUCUCCCUAAUACGCAGCGAGGUUAAUGAGUGUGAAUCACUUUCAUAUUUGGGUCAGGUGCAGGUGAUCUUACAGCAACAGUUUGACCCUGAUUCAAAGUAUGAAAACAUUGGUCAACAUUAAAAAAGACCCUGCCUUCAGUAACGGUAAUAUACACUUAAAUUGACAACUGCAGUGCUAGGAUGAUAUGUUAUAUUAAACUGCAGGUCUGUAUGCACAUCAAUAUGCAGCCCAGUCUUGACAUGAUAUGGUGUGUUAUAUUUUGUAAGGGUUCGAUCUAGGUUCCACUGUGACUGGAAUGGACUGACGUACGAUUUUAUGUAUGUGUGAGCUGCUCUUGAAAUGCUGCAAAUGAAUUGCCCUUUUGGGAUCAAUAAAGUUUUCUGAAUCUGAAUCUGAAUCUGAUGUGACAUGUAAAUGUAACGUUGUCAACGGUUUACACAAGUUCAGAUUUUUCAAUAAAAGCAGGUACAACCAAAUGACUUUGAACUCAAGUGGGGACUGAUAUUUAUAUAUCUAUUAAUGGGAUCUGUGCAAAACUCAAAAACCAUAGAUAUCCCGUCUUUUUCUAUAAGUUAGAUUCCGUCUCAUCUCCUUUGGUGAGAUGUUGAAGAGAAUCAUCAGAACAAUUAAACUGACACUUGACAUGUUAAGACUGUCAAGAGUCAGUCUGGCUGUGUUAUUUUUGUGAUUAGCGCACCGUGUUACUCGUAUGUAUUCAUAAAUAUGCAUGUGAAUGUAUGUAGAUCUAUAUGUGAGUGCGCAUGUGUGUGUGUACAUGUGUGUCAGGGAGUAAUUAUGGGGAAUAAAGGCCUGGUUGUACAGAGUGAAACUGUGGGUUUUGAAGUGAGAUGGAAGAUGCUUUUCUGUUUGGCUGAGCAGACUCAAUGGUCCCAUUCAACCAGCCCCCUUACCGCCCAUUGUCCUCCCACCACCACCAGCCCAACACACACACACACAAACACACACACAUGCACGGCUGUAGGGGCUCAGUGGUAGGCUUUUGGAGUAGAUGCCUGGAGGAGAGAGGAAUAUAUUGCUGAAUCUUUUUUUGUCAAGUGAGUAAAAGAGGGAUGGACAACAUGAAUGAAAAUAAUUAUGCACAACUCUUCAACUUCGAUUUUUAUUUGAUAUUUUAAUCCAAAUGUUAGCUUCUUUACAUUAAGUGUACUCAAGAAAUCGCUAACCUAAACAUGGACUCUUUUUUUGGUCCAGUUUCUUCACGGUUUCUCAGGUCUGAACAUCACAUGCCAUCGCCCUCAAAUGCUCUAAGUUAGAGCCCUCAUCCAGCGGUUAACCAGCUCCAUACAACAUUUGAACCCUUUGCACAAUGGCUCGUAUACGAACACAUGGUGGACACACAAUAGUCUGGCCACGGUUAUGAGGAAGCCGCACUUGUCAGGGGUUAAUGAUUGUGGGCCAUUGGUUUGGAGCCCAUUAAGACAUUGAUCCGGCCGCGUCUUUUAUGCCACCUGGGGAAAGGAAUGUGCCGGGUCUCCUAUUGUGUCUGUCUCUGUGUCUGCGAGUGUCACAGAGUGGUCAUAUAAUCUGUGUGUGUGUGCGUGCGUGUGUGUCCAAGAGAGGCCAAUCAAAGGAGAAUGGGGCUGGGAGUCACACACUGUGCAGAGACAGUGGAGGGUUAAAAAUUCCUGAGGUCACUUGGUCAAGGGUCACUUGGUGUGGAUUAACACAAACGCAAAAUGAAGACACGUUCAGGACUUACAUUAAAACAGUGCCUGAAAAAAAAAAAAACACUUGGGAGGAAGAUAAAUGAUAAUGCAGAGCUCAGCACCUUUCAGGGCUACGUGAGGCGCAUACUUACACAGCACACACACAAAGGGAAGAAAGGAGCUUCAUUCAUAGCUGCUUCUAUUAGUUGGCUGAAUUUAUUGCCUUCUCUUAUAAAAAAAAAUCCUUCAUUAGAAACAAUUGAACUUCUCCAUGGAUGGAAAACACCUAAUUACAAGUGCUGUUGGUUGUUAGAUUGAGCAGCUUCUUCAUGCACUUCUGCUAUUUUUGAACAGAGGUGACUGUCUCUGCAUUUAUUGAUGUUGGUUUGGAUCUGGCAGAUGAUUCUGUAAAAAUAUGGGUGGAUGUCAAAGCUGUAACUCUCUUCAUUAAAUUAGAUAAAAAUAAAGAAAUUUGGAUCAUGGUUUACAAGGUACAAAGCGCCAAACUUUAAAUAUCAUUUCAGAUUUAACUUUUUUUUUUUUCACAACUACAAAGAUUAUUCAUUUUGCAAAGGCCAAUCAUUACACCAACUUCUGAUGAACAUUAUAGAUGUGCUUAUAGGACAAAAUCUGUUUACUAAUUGGGUUAAUUGUUCUCAGGUGAGUAACAUGACUAUAAGUAAUUAAAAAAAAGGCAUGACAGAGAGCCUGAACCAACCUACAGCAAAGAUGAGAAGAGGUUCAUCUCUCUUUGGGGAACUGUGUGAGCAAAUAGCUUUACGUUUUUUAAAAUUAUGAAACAGGAAAUAUUUCUGCACAAAAGGGACAAGGUCUGAAACCAAUACUGGAUGCCUGUGAUCUUCAGGCAGUACUUCAUUAUAAACGAUGUGACUCUGUAGUGGAAAUCGAUGCAUGGGCUCAAAAUCACAUCCAAGAAGCAGAACACAGUUUGUCGCUGUUUCCACAAAUGUUGGUUAAAACUGUUCAUACAAGGAGGAAACCAUCUAUAAACAAAUGAAAUGAUGUCGACAUCUCUGAGACCGUUAAAGAUGGACUGAGGCAAAGUGGAAAACUGUCCCGUGGUCUGAUUUCUUUUGGGAAAUCAUAAACAAUGCAUCCUCCAUCCUCUGGACCACAGGAAGAUGCCAAACAACACUUUGCAAACAUGGCUCCGGACUAGAAGAAUCUGGGUGCUGAACUGGCCUGCCUGCAGCCCCAGAUUGUCACUCAUCAGAACAUGUGGUGCACAUGGUGACACCAACAAUAUGCCGAGGAAGGGCCUGAUCUGUUGAGCAGCUGACUUCUAUAUCUAGCAAGAUCACUUUCAAAACUUCAGACUGGUCUUCUUGGUUUCCUAACAUUUCCAAAGCAUUGUUAAAAAAGAGGCGACACAACAGAAGGGUCAACACCGUACUGAACCCACAUUUCUGCCAUUAUAUCAUUGUGGGAAUGAUCCAUCAUACUUCAAGCCAAUAUAAGCUCACCAUUGCUGUGGAUUUGAUCAAACUGUCUACCACCAUGUAUUAUCACCAGCUUAUUAGCUCGGCCACAUAACCAAGAAAGACCCCCAUAUUCUCCAUAUUUAAAAGUAAUGAAAAGGGUUUUUUGGAUUUGGCUCAGUUCCUGAAUUUGUGACUUGUUUUUAGCUCAUGUCUAGAUCUGAGCCAUAAUGUGUUUACAGCUGUUGGACAAAACCAGCAUGUAAUUAAAGUCAAAACGAGCCUGUCUGGCAGUGCCUGUGCCAUCUAAGAGUUACUAAACACUUCAGGGCUCAAAAAGGUUAUAAUCUCUAAAUUCUCAUAAUCUGACAAGUUUUCAGGACAGCUUUAGUAAGAGAUAAAUAAAUCAAGGAUUCUCUUUUUGUUGACUGCACCUAAACUUUGUCCUGAACUUUCUAUGAGUUUUUUUUAUUUAACAUCUGUUGGAUCUCAGACUUUCUAAAACCCCUCGAAACCACAGCUGGGGUUUAGGGUAGGAGGUUCACAGGGUCCCUAAACAUUGUGAGGCAGCCAUGUAAUCAGGGUUGAACUUGAGGAAGGAAAGAAAGUGAUGUCCAACACAAGAUGAGGUGUGUGUGUGUGUGUGUGUGUGUGUGUGUGUGUGUGUGUGUGUGUGUGUGUGGGCAAUUGGGAUGUGGCGGUGAUGGGGUAGGGGGCUGUCCUGUGAUGGCAGGACAAUAGACAUCGGCAGCAGCUGACCAGAGAAUCUCCUCUUCUUUUGUCAUUCUGUAUAAUGACGUCUCCACCACACACACACACACACACACACACACACACACACUGUCCCUUCUACCCCCUUCUGGGCCUGAUUUGGCUUAAAGGGACUUCUGCAUCUUAUGUUGCCUGUACGUCUUUUUCUACAUCUGUGUUUGUGCUUGUGUUUGCGUUUGAACAUAGCGUUUUCUGACCUCUGCUCUCUAAGAAUGUAUCCUCUGAGAUACUCUCUCAACUCAGUAAAUAUCUCCACUGCAGGCCAUAUGUUUUCUGUAUUUAAAUCUAGCUCCCAUCUGUCUACAGCCUGUGUGUAUUGACGUCUGCUUCACUUCGCUCUUAGUCAAAGUUGAAUAGUUUCGAACUAAGAACUUAAAUCCUGAACUCAAAAAAUAAAGAACAGUUAAAGAGGAAACAAAAUUUGCCUCUUUUUUUCCCAGUUCGACAAAGUAUCUGCUUUAGUAUAAUCAUAAAUAAGCAUGCAACAAAAGAUUAUUCAAAGAAGGGUCUGUGUAAAGCAAGGAUCUGGCUGGGCAGGGGGCAUCCUGGCUGCUGGAUGGGGAACAACCUGAAGGUCCUAGGGGUAUCAUUUUCAAGGAGGAAAAAAGCUCUGGUUUCAUCCUCAAAAUUCAAGCACCUGUGAGGAGCUAGUUAUGAAACACAGAAUAUAAAAGUGGUGUCUCUUGAUGGCUUUGACGGUGUCAUUUACAUUGUUUUCAGUGUUUAUACCACUGGCAGCAGGCAGAUGUCACACAAAGUGAAUCUUGCACACUUACAUAAAAGAUGAGAGAAUAUAUAAAAAAGAUGAGAAUGAUAUGAGAAAUGAGAUCUAGAGAUAUGAGAUGAGAAAAAAUAUGAGAGAUAUAUUUUACGCUUUGUACCCAGGCUGGCCCCCUCUUUACCUCCUCUCUAUGAAAGCACACCAAAGUCUGAUUCAGUUUGUGAUCUCAUGGUUAUUUUUCUGUAGGAGUAAGUGUGUUUUUGCCUGUUUGAUAGCUCUCCUCCAGCCAGCACCAGGUGAUAUGGCCCGGUACGGAAGGUCAGCGCAGUGAUGUCACUUCCCCUUCCUCUCCGGAUAUUCCCAG
Molecule: non-coding RNA, 9320 nt
Organism: Xyrichtys novacula (pearly razorfish)
Lineage: Eukaryota; Metazoa; Chordata; Actinopteri; Labriformes; Labridae
Source: the annotation of a GenBank genome assembly